GCGUUGACACACCGGAUCCUGCACGAUCACCGAAGUUAAGCCAUAUCGAACCUGGUCAGUACCUAGAUGGGUGACCGUUUGGAAAUACCAGAUGGCGUAAG
This is a non-coding RNA of Acanthosepion pharaonis, 101 nucleotides long. The record is from the annotation of a GenBank genome assembly. NCBI's taxonomy places the organism in Eukaryota, Metazoa, Mollusca, Cephalopoda, Sepiida, Sepiidae.